RNAcentral lists this ribosomal RNA (514 nucleotides) under Platycerus hongwonpyoi. RNAcentral's name for it is "partial 16S ribosomal RNA". The stretch from base 127 to 329 matches the Rfam family "Archaeal large subunit ribosomal RNA", at positions 1796 to 2107 of the family's 2987-position model. Lineage: Eukaryota; Metazoa; Arthropoda; Insecta; Coleoptera; Lucanidae. The record is from RNAcentral.
UUUUAUUGCUAAUUUAGAUUUAUUAAUCUUUAGCUAAUUUAUUAAUAUGUUAUAUUGAAUAUGAAAGUAUAGGUGAUUAUGAUUAAAUUAGUAUAAUUUUAAUGUAUAAUUAUUUACAUUUUUAAGAUUAAAUUAAGGAAUUCGGCAAAUAUUGUUUUCUGCCUGUUUAUUAAAAACAUGUCUUUUUGUAAUUAUUUGAAGUCGGGCCUGCCCUAUGAUUAUUUUAAUGGCCGCGGUAUUUUGACCGUGCAAAGGUAGCAUAAUAAUUAGUUUCUUAAUUAGAAGCUGGUAUGAAUGGUUUGACAAGAAAAUUUCUGUCUCUAUUUAAUUAUUAGAAUUUAACUUUUGAGUUAAAAGGCUUAAAUGUUUUUAAAAGACGAGAAGACCCUAUAGAAUUUUAUAUUUAAUUUAAUUAAAAUUUUAUGGUUUAUUUAUUUUUAAUUGGGUUUGGUAUUUUGUUGGGGUGAUGGAAAAAUUUAAUUAACUUUUUCUUAUUUUAUUCAUUAAUUUAUGA